RNAcentral lists this ribosomal RNA (2967 nucleotides) under soil metagenome. RNAcentral describes it as "bacterial LSU rRNA". It matches the Rfam family "Bacterial large subunit ribosomal RNA". The record is from RNAcentral.
AGAGCACAUGGUGGAUGCCUUGGCACCAGAGGCCGAUGAAGGGCGCGGCAGAGCUGCGAUAAGUCCCGGGGAGCUGCGGCGCAAGCUGUUAUCCGGGAAUUCCCGAAUGGGGCAACCCGGCCAGGGUCAUGCCUGGUCACCCAUCGCUGAAUCAAAUAGGCGGUGUGGAGGGUACGCAGGGAACUGAAACAUCUAAGUACCUGCAGGAAGAGAUAUUCCCCUAGUAGUGGCGAGCGAAAAGGGAAAAGCCUAAACCGAAGCGGCGUGAUAGACGGCAGUCGUUUCCGCUUCGGGGUCGUGGGACCCACCUGUUCCUGCUGCCGCGGGGACAAGGAGUAAAAAAACCGACGUCUAGCCGAACGGCAUUGAAUGGCCGGCGAUACAGGGUGGCAGCCCCGUAGGCGAAAGGCGAGCGGUCUCCUGGAGGGGAUCCCAAGUACCACCGAACACGUGGAAUUCGGUGGGAAUCAGCGCGGACCAUCGCGUAAGGCUAAAUACCUCUGGUGACCGAUAGUGAACGAGUACCGUGAGGGAAAGGUGAAAAGUACCCCGGAAGGGGAGUGAAAGAGUACCUGAAACCGUGUGCUUACAAACCGUGAGAGCACUAUGCCUGCUUGCAGGAAUGUGUGAUUGCGUGCCUUUUGUAGAAUGAUCCGGCGAGUUACUUCAGUGUGGCGAGGUUAAGGGGUUGACACCCGGAGCCGCAGCGAAAGCGAGUCUGAAUAGGGCGUUAUGUAGUCGCACUGAGUAGACCCGAAACCGAGUGACCUACCCAUGGUCAGGGUGAAGCGCGGGUAAGACCGCGUGGAGGCCCGAACCGACCCCGGUUGAAAACGCGGCGGAUGAACUGUGGGUAGCGGUGAAAUGCCAAUCGAACUCGGAAAUAGCUGGUUCUCCUCGAAAUGCAUUUAGGUGCAGCGUCGUCGAUUUGUUUGUCGCAGGUAGAGCACUGAAUGGGCUAGGGGCGAUCACCUCGUUACCAAACCCAACCAAACUCCGAAUGGCGGCAAAUUUUACGGCGGCAGUGAGACUGUGGGGGCUAAGCUUCAUAGUCGAAAGGGAAACAGCCCAGACCGCCGGCUAAGGUCCCAAAUCCCAGGCUAAGUGGCAAAGGAUGUCACGUUGCCCAGACAACCAGGAUGUUGGCUUAGAAGCAGCCAUCAUUUAAAGAAAGCGUAAUAGCUCACUGGUCGAGUGGUGUGGCGCCGACAAUGAUCGGGGCUCAAGUCUGGAACCGAAGCCGCGGAUGUCAUAGCUUCGGCUGUGGCGUGGUAGAGGAGCGUUCCACGGGCAGUGAAGGUCGAGCGUGAGCACGGCUGGAGCGCGUGGAAGUGCGAAUGCCGGAACAAGUAGCGAGAAACGUGUGAGAAACACGUUCGCCGUAAGCCUAAGGUUUCCUGGGCUACGUUAAUCGUCCCAGGGUCAGUCGGGCCUAAGCCGAGGCCGAAAGGCGUAGGCGAUGGACAGCUGGUCAACAUUCCAGCACCACUGGCGAGUACCGAUGGGGUGACAGGGAAGGGUAGACACAGCGGGGCGUUGGUUGUCCCCGUGCAAACAGGUAGGGGGUCUAGUAGGAAAAUCCGCUAGACACAUACCCCGAGAGGAUGCCGAGCCCGCAAGGGCGUAGUGGUUGAUCCCAAGCUCUCAAGAAAAACCUCUAAGGGUUGAUCCGCCAGUGCCCGUACCGCAAACCGACACAGGUAGGCAGGAAGAGGAUUCUAAGGCGAUCGAGAGAACCGUGGUUAAGGAACUCGGCAAAUUGUCCCCGUAACUUCGGGAGAAGGGGAGCCUCUGCAGGUGAAGGGCGUACGCCUGGAGCCAGUGGGGGCCGCAGAGAAAUGGCCCAAGCGACUGUUUACUAAAAACACAGGUCCCUGCCAAAGCGCAAGCUGAUGUAUAGGGGCUGACGCCUGCCCGGUGCUGGAAGGUUAAGAGGAAGGGUUCACGCCCUGAAUUGAAGCCCCAGUAAACGGCGGCCGUAACUAUAACGGUCCUAAGGUAGCGAAAUUCCUUGUCGGGUAAGUUCCGACCCGCACGAAUGGCGUAACGACUUGGGCGCUGUCUCGACCACGGACUCGGCGAAACUGAAGUACCUGUGAAGAUGCAGGUUACGCGCGGCAGGACGGAAAGACCCCGUGGAGCUUUACUGCAACUUGGCGUUGAUGUGGGGUCUAGCAUGUAGAGGAUAGCUGGGAGACUUUGAAGCGGGGCCGCUAGGUUCUGUGGAGUCAACCUUGGAAUACCAGCCUUGCUAGGUUUUAUGUCUAACCGGUGCCGUUAUCCGGUAUCGGGACCACGCCAGGCAGGCAGUUUGACUGGGGCGGUCGCCUCCUAAAAGGUAACGGAGGCGCCCAAAGGUUCCCUCAGCCUGGAUGGAAAUCAGGCCUUGGCGUGUAAUGGCGUAAGGGAGCUUGACUGUGAGGCCGACAAGCCGAGCAGGGACGAAAGUCGGGCAUAGUGAUCCGACGACUCUGAAUGGAAAGGUCGUCGCUCAACGGAUAAAAGCUACCCCGGGGAUAACAGGCUGAUCUUGCCCAAGAGUUCACAUCGACGGCAAGGUUUGGCACCUCGAUGUCGGCUCGUCGCAUCCUGGGGCUGGAGUAGGUCCCAAGGGUUGGGCUGUUCGCCCAUUAAAGCGGUACGCGAGCUGGGUUUAGAACGUCGUGAGACAGUUCGGAUCGUAUCCGCUGUGGGCGCAGGAGAUUUGAGGAGAGCUGACCUUAGUACGAGAGGACCGGGUUGGACGAACCGCUUGUGUACCAGUUGUUCUGCCAAGAGCAUCGCUGGGUAGCUAUGUUCGGAUGGGAUAAGCGCUGAAAGCAUCUAAGUGCGAAGCCCACUCCAAGAUAAGAUCUCCCACCGGAUAACCGGGUAAGACCCCAGAGAGACCAUCUGGUUGAUAGGCCGCGGGUGUAAGAGAGGUGACUCUUUGAGCUGAGCGGUACUAAUCGGUCGAGGGCUUGACCU